GAUAAACGCUGGCGGCGUGCUUAACACAUGCAAGUCGAACGAAGUUUUUCUUUCGGGAGGAACUUAGUGGCGGACGGGUGAGUAACGCGUGGGUAACCUGCCCUGUACAGGGGGACAACAGCUGGAAACGGCUGCUAAUACCGCAUAAGCCCUUAGCACUGCAUGGUGCAUAGGGAAAAGGAGCAAUCCGGUACAGGAUGGACCCGCGUCUGAUUAGCCAGUUGGCAGGGUAACGGCCUACCAAAGCGACGAUCAGUAGCCGAUCUGAGAGGAUGUACGGCCACAUUGGGACUGAGACACGGCCCAGACUCCUACGGGAGGCAGCAGUGGGGAAUAUUGCACAAUGGAGGAAACUCUGAUGCAGCGACGCCGCGUGAGUGAAGAAGUAUUUCGGUAUGUAAAGCCCUAUCAGCAGGAAAGAAAAUGACGGUACCUGACUAAGAAGCACCGGCUAAAUACGUG
Molecule: ribosomal RNA, 462 nt
Filed under: uncultured bacterium
Lineage: Bacteria
Description: partial 16S ribosomal RNA
Rfam family: Bacterial small subunit ribosomal RNA
Source: RNAcentral